RNAcentral lists this non-coding RNA (110 nucleotides) under Patagioenas fasciata monilis. The record is from RNAcentral. Lineage: Eukaryota; Metazoa; Chordata; Aves; Columbiformes; Columbidae.
AUGUUGUAUGAAAGAAGGAGAAAAGGGUGGAAGAGGCCCCAGUGGCCUGUACAACACACAUGCAGUUAAGGCACUGCCACCUACUUCAUGGCAUCUGACCAUGUUUUUGC